AUUUUGGACAAUGGGCGAAAGCCUGACGCAGCAACGCCGCGUGCGGGAGGACGGCCUCNGGGUUGNANACCGCUUUUCGAGGGGANGCGGAAGGACGGUACCCUCGGAAUAAGUCCCGGCUAACUACGUGCCAGCAGCCGCGGUAAAACGUAGGAGGCGAGCGUUAUCCGGAUUUACUGGGUGUAAAGCGCGUGCAGGCGGCCGCGCAAGUCGUGCGUGAAAGCGCCCGGCUCAACCGGGCGAGGUGGUGCGAAACUGCGGGGCUUGAGGCAGGUAGAGGCGUGUGGAAUUCCGGGUGUAGUGGUGAAAUGCGUAGAGAUCCGGAGGAACACCAGUGGCGAAGGCGGCACGCUGGGCCUGGCCUGACGCUCAGACGCGAAAGCACGGGGAGCGAACGGG
Molecule: ribosomal RNA, 399 nt
Filed under: uncultured bacterium
Lineage: Bacteria
Description: partial 16S ribosomal RNA
Rfam family: Bacterial small subunit ribosomal RNA
Source: RNAcentral